CGGGGUGGAGUAAUGCUUGGGAAUCUAGCUUAUGAGGGGGAGUAACUACGGGAAACUGUAGCUAAUACCGCGUAAUAUCGAGAGAUUAAAGUGUGGGACCUUCGGGCCACAUGCCAUAGGAUGAGCCCAAGUGGGAUUAGGUAGUUGGUGAGGUAAAGGCUCACCAAGCCGACGAUCUCUAGCUGGUCUGAGAGGAUGACCAGCCACACUGGGACUGAGACACGGCCCAG
This 230-nucleotide ribosomal RNA is filed under the name uncultured bacterium. Its description in RNAcentral is "partial 16S ribosomal RNA". It matches the Rfam family "Bacterial small subunit ribosomal RNA", at positions 104 to 334 of the family's 1533-position model. The record is from RNAcentral.